GUGCUGGAGCUGUGUUACCAGGGUAAGGUGAUGGAGCUGUGUAUUACCAUGGUAAGGUGCUGGAGCUGAGUCAGUUUCAUGUUGCGUGUGGUGAUGUGUUGAGUUGAAAAUGUAGAGAAGCAGAGAGAGGUGCUGGGAGGUUUUGGGAGAUGGAGAGAGGUGUUGUAGAGAGGUGUUGUGAAGUGUUGGAAGAAGGAGAGAGGUGUUGUGAUGUGUUUGGAGACAGAGAGAGGUGUUGUGGUGUGUUGGGAGACGGAGAGAGAAGUUGUGAUGUGUCGGGAGACAGAGAGAGGUGUUGUGGUGUGUUGGGAGACAGAGAGAGGUGUUGGGGUGUGUUGGGAGACGGAGAGAGAAGUUGUGAUGUGUCGGGAGACAGAGAGAGGUGUUGUGGUGUGUUGGGAGACGGAGAGAGAAGUUGUGAUGUGUCGGGAGACAGAGAGAGGUGUUGUGGUGUGUUGGGCGACAGGCAGCAGGGUAGCCUAGUGGUUAGAGCGU
Oncorhynchus tshawytscha (Chinook salmon) is the source of this 495-nucleotide long non-coding RNA. Lineage: Eukaryota; Metazoa; Chordata; Actinopteri; Salmoniformes; Salmonidae. The record is from Ensembl.